RNAcentral lists this ribosomal RNA (254 nucleotides) under uncultured bacterium. RNAcentral's name for it is "partial 16S ribosomal RNA". It matches the Rfam family "Bacterial small subunit ribosomal RNA", at positions 524 to 776 of the family's 1533-position model. The record is from RNAcentral.
UACAGAGGUGGCAAGCGUUGUUCGGAUUUACUGGGCGUAAAGAGCGCGCAGGCGGUCGUUCAAGUCGCGUGUGAAAGCCCCCGGCUCAACUGGGGAGGGUCACGCGAUACUGAUCGACUCGAAGGCAGGAGAGGGUAGUGGAAUUCCCGGUGUAGUGGUGAAAUGCGUAGAUAUCGGGAGGAACACCAGUGGCGAAGGCGACUACCUGGCCUGUUUCUUGACGCUGAGGCGCGAAAGCUAGGGGAGCAAACGGG